Long non-coding RNA from Helianthus annuus (common sunflower), 3173 nucleotides. RefSeq lists it as uncharacterized. The transcript has 2 exons. The record is from RefSeq and is a predicted model, not a curated record. Lineage: Eukaryota; Viridiplantae; Streptophyta; Magnoliopsida; Asterales; Asteraceae.
GGUUUUACACAAAUACGUAUUCCAUUCUAUGUUUAACUACCAGAAUACUCCCAACUACACACUUACAAUCAAACAAGCUGUUAAAUCACCAGAAGAUUUAGAACAAUAAAGUAUACUCUUAAUUAUCAGAAGGAGUAGAAUCAAGAAGCUUGUUAAAUCAAUACUGCAUGCUUAUGAAGUAAUUACAGUAGAUCGGAAUAAGAGAUGGAUACGGCACCAAAAGGCUUACAGAAGUGGCUUGAUUUAUCAAUUAAAUUAAAUUAAGAAUUACCAUUUUAUGUAUUCGGGUUUAUUCCAUUUUAAAAGCUACCUUUAUAAAAACAUGGAUUUAUCCCAUCUAUUAAUAAAUAAAAUCCGGUGUUUCUAAACUCUGAUAUUUUUCCUAACUCACGGUCCUGAUGAAAUUUCCGCUGCAAUGUUUUCAAAAUAAAUAACCACCGGUACCACUUGGCUGCUCGCGGCUCCCGAUUCCGUCCAGGGUGGAUCGGGGGUCGUGACAUCUACUAAGAGUAUUUUUGUCAUAUAUUUGAGUUAAGGCCAGCCAGUUAAACAUUUUGUUUUUACUUCCAUGUUUGUGCGAAACUUUUCGAGUAACUUCGUUAUUACAAUGUUCUCUUUGGAAUUAUUUUCCCCUGCACAAUAACAAUGUUCUUUGAUACAUGAAAGUUGACAGACAUAACAAUAUGUACUGUAUCUGAGUAUUCACAUGUAUGUACUGUACUUUUACCUUCACACUAUACCAUAUAUGUCAUGUACUAUAUUUUUGUUACAAUGCAAAUCAGAGAUAGAAAUAAAGCACAUACUCAAUGAAGUAGAAUAUAACUUGUAUGUUCCUUUUUUUUAACACAAUGGUCUUAUAUAUGUACGUGAUGAUUUGAUUUUAAUACAAUGGUCUUAACUAUGUACAUGAUGAUUUGAUAGUGUUGAAAUCAUACCAACAUAUUACACAGCUAGGUAAAGAAAACCUUGCAGGUGAAUCUUUGCUUCAGUAUUGUUCCUAUACCUUAAGAAUUGCAUAAGCAAAUAAGUGUUUAAGUGAACUAGGUGCUUCUUGAAAGAAUGAUCGUUCCUCCCGAUAAGCAUUAGUUGAAACUAUAACAUUUGUUUUUUUCUAGAUUUGAAUAAUCUUUUAUAUCAGUUUCCUCUUUUACCGGUGAUUUCAAGAUUUGGUCAUCUUCAAUGAGUUUUUACUUGUUCUUAAAUGGGAUAAAGGAUUUAAAUAACCCAAACUUUCACUAAUUGACCGAUAACAUUCACAACUUUCGAUUUGUACAACAUCUCUCCCAACUUUCGACUUAUUGGCCGAUAACACUCCCUAACUAACUGAACCCUAACCUCAUUAGUUUUACAAUAUAAAGAGAGCUAAACUAUCCAUUUUAUAGUUCACAAACCGAAGAUAUUCUCAUCAUACAUAUUUAUUUAUUCGAGUAUACCCGAACAACCUCAUGAAGUUCACACUUCUAAUUUUAAACCAAGUGACUAUAACACCUAACAUGGUGUUGGUUCACAUAUUAUAAUCUCAUUCAACAUAGUAAGAAAGUAAGAGAUACCUGGUUAAGAAAUCUUAAACAUACCAAGUUCACACAAAUCAAAUUCCAUAUAACAUCAAGUAUAUAUUGAUUAUAUAAGCAUAUAAUGUUUUUGUAUGUUACCAAUUACUCACACUAUCUUAUUACUUCAAUAUGUUAAGAAUUCUCCCAUGUACUUUUCUAAAAAAAAACAAAUAUCUUACUCACAAGGAAACUUUUUCUUUAACAAUUUCAUAUCAGAAUUUACAGAUUAAUACAUAACUAAUGCAUUCAUAUCAUAUAUAAUAGUUACCCAACUUGUGUCGUCAGCCAAGUAUUAUAAUGUUUCUACUAUUCCCUGUGGCAUCAGCUCAUUUAUUUAGCUCGUCUAUAUAUUGCACCCACAAUCUAGCCUCACAGUUCAAGUUCAAGUCGUAGAAACAAGAGUUUACUUUUCUCACCUCCAAUAUACGAGCCAUAAGCUAACUCAAAACGACUUUAUUCAGUUAUGGAACACUCUCUCAUGAAUAAUCAAAACCUCAUGAAUUUAUUAUAAUUCUUAUAACGUGUCAUUUACAUAUAUAAAAUCACUAUAAUAGUUAAAUAGGAAUUACUAGCUCAAUAAAAGAUAUUGCAUACUUUUAAUUUAGAGCAAGUGUAACUUACCUUUGCCACUAGAAUCUUCGUCUCCUUGAUUGAAAUCCUCAAUCACUGAUCUCUAACUCUUCAUAUAUAUAUUUGGAUUGUGAUUUCAUACAUCCCACUUUAACUGCAAUUUAUAAAGUCAUCUCAAUUCAAAUUAACAUACCAAAUAUCCAUUGAACUAUGAUCAUACUAAUUCAUUUAGCUUAGUUUUUCAACACAGAACACAUAAUCUUCUUGAAAUCUUUUAUCUAAACCCCUAAACAUACAAGUCUCCUGAUACAAAUUUCACUAUGGCAUUUCAUCGAACACCUUUUGUUUAUAUUUAAACUUUAAAUUACAUGGUUUGCAUCAUAGUCUUAUUAAUCCAUUUUGAAUAGAAUAAUAUUAAGAUACAUGCUCCAUCAUUAUAAACAUAAUAGUCAAAUAAAAUAAAUGGAAUUGUAAGACCAAAUCAUCACCUUUAUCAUCAAUUAUAUGAAAUACAAAGAUAUUCAUUUGACUAUUCAUAACCCUAAAUUCACUAUUUAGCAUCUUCAUGUCAUCAAAGGAUUAUGAGUUGUUUAUAUUUUAUAUUCAUAAGUAGACCAACUCAUACUUAUUUAACAACAGAUUUCCACACAUUCAUGGGUACUUCAUUAUACAUUUAUGGUUUCCACCAGAACUCAAAAUUAGGUUAGUAGAUACUUACAAGAGUUCACUUCAUUGUCUUUAGAUGAGCAUACCCGUUAAAGAAUUUGAGGAUUAACUUGCUGGGAUGUAGAAUCAAGAAACCAAUUUUGUUCCUCCUCUUUUUCUCAUGUCGGCCAUAGUCUCAAUUCAAGACUUCCAAAUCCUUCAAGAUGUAAAUGUGGCUUCCAAUUUGGUGUCCAGGUAAUUAAUUAAGUUUGGCUCAUAGCCACUUAACACUCCUCAUAUUUUAUUUCUUACAUACCGUGUAUUAUAGUUUUUGUUCAAUUCCCUAAUAAACCCCAAACUUUGUAAUAUAACUUUUCUUUUAAACAAGUUAGAUUUGCUAACAAA